RNAcentral lists this ribosomal RNA (2892 nucleotides) under Escherichia coli. Its description in RNAcentral is "bacterial LSU rRNA". It matches the Rfam family "Bacterial large subunit ribosomal RNA". Lineage: Bacteria; Pseudomonadati; Pseudomonadota; Gammaproteobacteria; Enterobacterales; Enterobacteriaceae. The record is from RNAcentral.
ACUAAGCGUACACGGUGGAUGCCCUGGCAGUCAGAGGCGAUGAAGGACGUGCUAAUCUGCGAUAAGCGUCGGUAAGGUGAUAUGAACCGUUAUAACCGGCGAUUUCCGAAUGGGGAAACCCAGUGUGUUUCGACACACUAUCAUUAACUGAAUCCAUAGGUUAAUGAGGCGAACCGGGGGAACUGAAACAUCUAAGUACCCCGAGGAAAAGAAAUCAACCGAGAUUCCCCCAGUAGCGGCGAGCGAACGGGGAGGAGCCCAGAGCCUGAAUCAGUGUGUGUGUUAGUGGAAGCGUCUGGAAAGGCGCGCGAUACAGGGUGACAGCCCCGUACACAAAAAUGCACAUGCUGUGAGCUCGAUGAGUAGGGCGGGACACGUGGUAUCCUGUCUGAAUAUGGGGGGACCAUCCUCCAAGGCUAAAUACUCCUGACUGACCGAUAGUGAACCAGUACCGUGAGGGAAAGGCGAAAAGAACCCCGGCGAGGGGAGUGAAAAAGAACCUGAAACCGUGUACGUACAAGCAGUGGGAGCCUCUUUUAUGGGGUGACUGCGUACCUUUUGUAUAAUGGGUCAGCGACUUAUAUUCUGUAGCAAGGUUAACCGAAUAGGGGAGCCGAAGGGAAACCGAGUCUUAACUGGGCGUUAAGUUGCAGGGUAUAGACCCGAAACCCGGUGAUCUAGCCAUGGGCAGGUUGAAGGUUGGGUAACACUAACUGGAGGACCGAACCGACUAAUGUUGAAAAAUUAGCGGAUGACUUGUGGCUGGGGGUGAAAGGCCAAUCAAACCGGGAGAUAGCUGGUUCUCCCCGAAAGCUAUUUAGGUAGCGCCUCGUGAAUUCAUCUCCGGGGGUAGAGCACUGUUUCGGCAAGGGGGUCAUCCCGACUUACCAACCCGAUGCAAACUGCGAAUACCGGAGAAUGUUAUCACGGGAGACACACGGCGGGUGCUAACGUCCGUCGUGAAGAGGGAAACAACCCAGACCGCCAGCUAAGGUCCCAAAGUCAUGGUUAAGUGGGAAACGAUGUGGGAAGGCCCAGACAGCCAGGAUGUUGGCUUAGAAGCAGCCAUCAUUUAAAGAAAGCGUAAUAGCUCACUGGUCGAGUCGGCCUGCGCGGAAGAUGUAACGGGGCUAAACCAUGCACCGAAGCUGCGGCAGCGACACUAUGUGUUGUUGGGUAGGGGAGCGUUCUGUAAGCCUGUGAAGGUGUACUGUGAGGUAUGCUGGAGGUAUCAGAAGUGCGAAUGCUGACAUAAGUAACGAUAAAGCGGGUGAAAAGCCCGCUCGCCGGAAGACCAAGGGUUCCUGUCCAACGUUAAUCGGGGCAGGGUGAGUCGACCCCUAAGGCGAGGCCGAAAGGCGUAGUCGAUGGGAAACAGGUUAAUAUUCCUGUACUUGGUGUUACUGCGAAGGGGGGACGGAGAAGGCUAUGUUGGCCGGGCGACGGUUGUCCCGGUUUAAGCGUGUAGGCUGGUUUUCCAGGCAAAUCCGGAAAAUCAAGGCUGAGGCGUGAUGACGAGGCACUACGGUGCUGAAGCAACAAAUGCCCUGCUUCCAGGAAAAGCCUCUAAGCAUCAGGUAACAUCAAAUCGUACCCCAAACCGACACAGGUGGUCAGGUAGAGAAUACCAAGGCGCUUGAGAGAACUCGGGUGAAGGAACUAGGCAAAAUGGUGCCGUAACUUCGGGAGAAGGCACGCUGAUAUGUAGGUGAAGCGACUUGCUCGUGGAGCUGAAAUCAGUCGAAGAUACCAGCUGGCUGCAACUGUUUAUUAAAAACACAGCACUGUGCAAACACGAAAGUGGACGUAUACGGUGUGACGCCUGCCCGGUGCCGGAAGGUUAAUUGAUGGGGUCAGCGCAAGCGAAGCUCUUGAUCGAAGCCCCGGUAAACGGCGGCCGUAACUAUAACGGUCCUAAGGUAGCGAAAUUCCUUGUCGGGUAAGUUCCGACCUGCACGAAUGGCGUAAUGAUGGCCAGGCUGUCUCCACCCGAGACUCAGUGAAAUUGAACUCGCUGUGAAGAUGCAGUGUACCCGCGGCAAGACGGAAAGACCCCGUGAACCUUUACUAUAGCUUGACACUGAACAUUGAGCCUUGAUGUGUAGGAUAGGUGGGAGGCUUUGAAGUGUGGACGCCAGUCUGCAUGGAGCCGACCUUGAAAUACCACCCUUUAAUGUUUGAUGUUCUAACGUUGACCCGUGAUCCGGGUUGCGGACAGUGUCUGGUGGGUAGUUUGACUGGGGCGGUCUCCUCCUAAAGAGUAACGGAGGAGCACGAAGGUUGGCUAAUCCUGGUCGGACAUCAGGAGGUUAGUGCAAUGGCAUAAGCCAGCUUGACUGCGAGCGUGACGGCGCGAGCAGGUGCGAAAGCAGGUCAUAGUGAUCCGGUGGUUCUGAAUGGAAGGGCCAUCGCUCAACGGAUAAAAGGUACUCCGGGGAUAACAGGCUGAUACCGCCCAAGAGUUCAUAUCGACGGCGGUGUUUGGCACCUCGAUGUCGGCUCAUCACAUCCUGGGGCUGAAGUAGGUCCCAAGGGUAUGGCUGUUCGCCAUUUAAAGUGGUACGCGAGCUGGGUUUAGAACGUCGUGAGACAGUUCGGUCCCUAUCUGCCGUGGGCGCUGGAGAACUGAGGGGGGCUGCUCCUAGUACGAGAGGACCGGAGUGGACGCAUCACUGGUGUUCGGGUUGUCAUGCCAAUGGCACUGCCCGGUAGCUAAAUGCGGAAGAGAUAAGUGCUGAAAGCAUCUAAGCACGAAACUUGCCCCGAGAUGAGUUCUCCCUGACUCCUUGAGAGUCCUGAAGGAACGUUGAAGACGACGACGUUGAUAGGCCGGGUGUGUAAGCGCAGCGAUGCGUUGAGCUAACCGGUACUAAUGAACCGUGAGGCUUAACC